ACUCUAGAAAUAGGUACUAAAAAAAAAGUAUUUAAAGAUUGCCAGCUGAAACUAUUACAUUAUCCUUAACGAGUUCCGUCACUUAUACAAUCGUCAAACAUCAAAAUACCAGGUUUGUACUUAAAAUACAAAAUGUUUCCGGUGCAAAUAUUGGUUGUUUUAUCAACUAUGAUUAUAAUUAAUCACGCAGCAACGUUGAACUACGAGCAUCAAACGUCAGUAACAACUGGUUAUGAAGUUGAUAAAGAGUCAUAUGAGAUGAUAAACGAUAAGACAUAUUAUAAUCCUGAUAUUGCACCUUCAUAUGAUUUUAAUACAACAGAUUCAAAUGGAAAUAUCAUAAAUUCAAAUGAAACUGCUUUACCUGUUGUAAAAAGCUUACCAAUUAUUCCAAUUAUCUUUGGAGGGAAGGUGAUUUAUGAUAUUUUAAACAAAAUAUACUUUAAUAAUAAUAAUAAAAAUUGAAUAUAUUUACUAAUUAUAAUAUA
This is a long non-coding RNA of Acyrthosiphon pisum (pea aphid), 488 nucleotides long. RefSeq lists it as uncharacterized. The record is from RefSeq and is a predicted model, not a curated record. The transcript is spliced from 2 exons. NCBI's taxonomy places the organism in Eukaryota, Metazoa, Arthropoda, Insecta, Hemiptera, Aphididae.